Molecule: long non-coding RNA, 380 nt
Organism: Corvus hawaiiensis (hawaiian crow)
Lineage: Eukaryota; Metazoa; Chordata; Aves; Passeriformes; Corvidae
Exons: 3
Source: RefSeq, a predicted model, not a curated record
UGUGGGCAGAGCAGCCGGACUCAGCUGAGAGCAGGGGGUUGUGUGCUCCUCAAGCACCUACAAAACAGGGAAGAAAACCUUUGGCAAAGAUGUAGGAGAUGCACCUUUCCUUUCUAACAAGGAAGCCUAUGAUUUUCCAUCUUGGAUACCCCUGUAGUGCUUAUUGUUGUACUCACAAAUACCACUCACCCACUCGCAAGUGGCCUCCCUCCUCUGAGUGACAAGCUCCACAGCAGAACUUGUGAGAUGACCAGAGACGUGCAAUGAUUUACGUGGAUGACCCUGACUUGCUGCUCCUGUAAGUCUUUAAACAGCUCCACUUUCAGCUGCAAUAGCUUCCAGAAGAAUGUGGCAGUGCAGGUGGCUGCAGCCACUCUGUC